CGUAGCUUAGCGAGCUAAACGCUAGCUACAAUAUAUGAACUAUAUAAACAUAAUAAUGAUAAUGAAGUCUAACUUAGUUUGCUAAAUUACGUGGAAUAUUGGAGACAGACAUAGUUUAAACGUUUAAAUUAGAUUUUGACAUUCUGAAAUGUAUUUGCCAGUACAGUUUGUGGAAAAACAGCAUGCUAGAACUUAGUUAUGAUAUACUAGAUGACGCUUGAUGUUGAAACUAUGUUUUACUUCUACAUGCGUGUAGUGUCAAAUAUUAUCCAGGGACAGGUAGUUGUCUAGAUGCUUCAGAUCCAUGAAGAAAAAUGAGGAACCGCACAAGCUGCAGGUUUGAAACGGUCAGAAAACCUGUUGGCACUUGUUCGUUAGUUCAAGUUCCUGUUCAUGUUUGACAGCUGAAGAACUUUCACGUACGACUUCUGGACUACUCGGAGCUUAUUCUAACAUCUUCCUGUUCAGUGGUUACUAUUUGUUUUCUGUUGCGGUUGCAACAGUCUGUGUUUUUUUUUCUGCUGUUGUUGAACCUUACCUUCAAACUAGAAUCUAUUACUUAUUUAAAGCUAAACAUGCUAUAUGUAUUGAUGUAUAUAUGUGUUGCUAAAACACUUGUCUAUUUUAGAUAUCACUGGGUGUUGGAAAAGAAAAGGCUGAAUUAUUGGAUUAUACAAAUUUGAUGAAAUAAUGAAAAGAGAAAGCAAACAAGAUGUAUAAACUUUGCAAUCAUGUAGUUGCACUUCUUUACCAGACUGCACACUACUCCCAACUCUAGCUGCCAACUGUUCUUCCUGCACUGGCCUGCAGAAGUGAUUUACAAAGAUGGCACAGACCAAGAACACAAAUAAGAAAAAAAGAGUGGAACACAUUGUCCUGUGGUAUGUGAUAUCCUACCAUAUACUAAAUAUACUACAUAUACUAAAUUACAUAUACUGUCAUAUAUAUGAUCUUAAAAUAACAGUACUAUAGUUAUGUACACAAUUUAUUCCUCCUUUGAUUGUGUCGCACAGCCAUUUACAUUCCUUUCCCACCUGUAUUUUAUAAUUGCCAUAUAAAAUUUGUUGUAAUCUCAAUAUUGUGUCAAAUAUAAUUUCUUUUUUGUAGGCAAUGAGAAAAAUACAGGCUCAACUGCUAUCAUUUAGUUUUAUUUGCAAGUUGGGUAAAAUUCUAAACUGUGCCAAAUCAGUCCCAUUAUGUCCUAAGAAAUUGCUCACCCAUCCCUUUAUUUGUUCUUUAGUUUGACAUAUCUUUAUGUGUAUUUCUUGUAAGGGGAUACAUCCUGAGCCUGUCAGCGACGUGGUGGUGCGGAAACUAUGGGGAAAUAUCUCCACUCCACAAUUUACAGAGCUUACACAGGACCACUUCCAGAUCCUGACAUUCUGGCAUCAGGAGAAAAACUACACCAGCUGGAGUACCAACCACUUAUUGCUCUUGUCCUAAAUGGUCUUUCAAAUUUGGAGCUGGUUCCAUCCAAAUUUGGUCCUGUGCCACAGGGUUCACCAAUGUCUUAUCAGUGCCCACCUUAGAAGUCCUCUGGUAGCAUCAUUCUGCACCACAUGGCUCCAGACUUCCCUUCUCUUCCUUUGAUGCUGCAUAGUCUUCCGAAUAUGUUUUGUGCCCACACUCGGUCAACUUAUGCAUCUUCAGUCUCUGCAAGUGUCACUGGAAAUGUCUUAUGAAAUAGAGGCCAGAACAAGAGAGCAGUCCGCAUGUCCUGCAUGGGUACAUCUUCGACAGCCAAGACUUACUGCUAGCCGUUUCCGUGAUGCUUGCAGAGGAAGUGCAGAGGAGGAGUCUGCUGCCACAGCACUGGCAUCUCGGAUGAUCAGGGGGUCCACUAGACAAACUGCCGCUGAUAGGUAUUUUUCCUUUCGAACCUAAAUAAAAGAAAGAACCACAGACAACGUAUUAUGAAUUUUAUAGCCAAGCUUUUGCAAAAGGAGAAAACACAGAGAACUGCUCCUCUGACCAGUUCACCAUGUGUUCUGAAACUCUGCAGUAGAGCUUGUCUUUUUAUUAACACAAGACAAAAGCAAAGGGGGCUGGUGCUGAUAAGAUUAGAAGCCCCCGAAACGAACACAAUCAAACACAGUUUUACGACUAAGGAAUUUCUACCUAGGGGACAGUCAGGAAAAACAACAAAGGUCGUAAAACUUCUGAUAUAAUCAACUAGCAACCCACUUCCUAGGU
Long non-coding RNA from Xiphophorus hellerii (green swordtail), 2193 nucleotides. RefSeq lists it as uncharacterized. The record is from RefSeq and is a predicted model, not a curated record. The transcript has 2 exons. NCBI's taxonomy places the organism in Eukaryota, Metazoa, Chordata, Actinopteri, Cyprinodontiformes, Poeciliidae.